GAGCACGAAGGUUGGCUAAUCCUGGUCGGACAUCAGGAGGUUAGUGCAAUGGCAUAAGCCAGCUUGACUGCGAGCGUGACGGCGCGAGCAGGUGCGAAAGCAGGUCAUAGUGAUCCGGUGGUUCUGAAUGGAAGGGCCAUCGCUCAACGGAUAAAAGGUACUCCGGGGAUAACAGGCUGAUACCGCCCAAGAGUUCAUAUCGACGGCGGUGUUUGGCACCUCGAUGUCGGCUCAUCACAUCCUGGGGCUGAAGUAGGUCCCAAGGGUAUGGCUGUUCGCCAUUUAAAGUGGUACGCGAGCUGGGUUUAGAACGUCGUGAGACAGUUCGGUCCCUAUCUGCCGUGGGCGCUGGAGAACUGAGGGGGGCUGCUCCUAGUACGAGAGGACCGGAGUGGACGCAUCACUGGUGUUCGGGUUGUCAUGCCAAUGGCACUGCCCGGUAGCUAAAUGCGGAAGAGAUAAGUGCUGAAAGCAUCUAAGCACGAAACUUGCCCCGAGAUGAGUUCUCCCUGACCCUUUAAGGGUCCUGAAGGAACGUUGAAGACGACGACGUUGAUAGGCCGGGUGUGUAAGCGCAGCGAUGCGUUGAGCUAACCGGUACUAAUGGAGAUAAGUGCUGAAAGCAUCUAAGCACGAAACUUGCCCCGAGAUGAGUUCUCCCUGACCCUUUAAGGGUCCUGAAGGAACGUUGAAGACGACGACGUUGAUAGGCCGGGUGUGUAAGCGCAGCGAUGCGUUGAGCUAACCGGUACUAAUGAACCGUGAGGCUUAACCUUACAACGCCGAAGGUGUUU
This 794-nucleotide ribosomal RNA is filed under the name Escherichia coli. Its description in RNAcentral is "bacterial LSU rRNA". The stretch from base 1 to 621 matches the Rfam family "Bacterial large subunit ribosomal RNA", at positions 2306 to 2925 of the family's 2925-position model. The record is from RNAcentral. Lineage: Bacteria; Pseudomonadati; Pseudomonadota; Gammaproteobacteria; Enterobacterales; Enterobacteriaceae.